AUUAUGGAGAGUUUGAUCCUGGCUCAGAGUGAACGCUGGCGGCAUGCCUAACACAUGCAAGUCGAGCGAAGUUUUGCAGAGUAUCGCAAAAUUUAGCGGCAAACGGGUGAGUAACACGUAGGGAACCUCCCUCAAAAUGGGGAAUAUCUCCAAGAAAUUGGAGUCAAUACCGCAUAAGACCAUAGUUUGGCAUCAAGCAGAGUGGUUAAAGCAGUGAUGCGUUUUGAGAUGGCCCUGCGGCCUAUCAGCUAGAUGGUGGGGUAAAGGCCUACCAAGGCUAUGACAGGUAUCCGGCCUGAAAGGGUGAACGGACACACUGGAACUGAGACACGGUCCAGACUCCUACGGGAGGCAGCAGUGAGGAAUUUUGGACAAUGGGGGAAACCCUGAUCCAGCGAUGCCGCGUGGAGGACGAAGGCCUUAGGGUUGUAAACUCCUUUUAGGGGGGACGAAUAAAGUGACGGUACCCUCAGAAAAAGCCACGGCUAACUACGUGCCAGCAGCCGCGGUAAUACGUAGGUGGCGAGCGUUACUCGGAAUUACUAGGCGUAAAGGGUAUGUAGGUGGUCAUAUAAGUCUUUAGUGAAAUUUUUCGGCUCAACCGAAAAAGGCCUAAGGAUACUGUUUGACUUGAGUAUGGGAGAGGGAGAUGGAAUUCCUGGUGUAGCGGUGAAAUGCGUAGAUAUCAGGAGGAACGCCGAUGGCGAAAGCAGUCUCCUGGCCCAAUACUGACGCUGAGGUACGAAAGCUAGGGUAGCAAACAGGAUUAGAUACCCUGGUAGUCCUAGCUGUAAACGAUGUUCACUAGAUGUGGGAGGUAUCGACCCCUUCU
Molecule: ribosomal RNA, 832 nt
Filed under: Endomicrobium sp.
Lineage: Bacteria; Pseudomonadati; Elusimicrobiota; Endomicrobiia; Endomicrobiales; Endomicrobiaceae
Description: bacterial SSU rRNA
Rfam family: Bacterial small subunit ribosomal RNA
Source: RNAcentral